RNAcentral lists this ribosomal RNA (784 nucleotides) under Clostridioides difficile. RNAcentral's name for it is "bacterial LSU rRNA". It matches the Rfam family "Bacterial large subunit ribosomal RNA", at positions 1 to 788 of the family's 2925-position model. Lineage: Bacteria; Bacillati; Bacillota; Clostridia; Peptostreptococcales; Peptostreptococcaceae. The record is from RNAcentral.
UGGUCAAGUUAUUAAGGGUGCAGGGCGGAUGCCUUGGCACUAGGAGCCGAUGAAGGACGUGAUAAGCUGCGAUAAGCUUCGGGGAGUUGCACGUAAACUUUGAUCCGAAGAUUUCCGAAUGAGGAAACUCACUUAGAGUAAUGUCUAAGUAUCAUUAAGUGAAUACAUAGCUUAAUGAGGGGAACUCAGGGAACUGAAACAUCUAAGUACCUGAAGGAAGAGAAAGAAAUUCGAUUCCGUAAGUAGCGGCGAGCGAACGCGGAUUAGCCCAAACCAAUAAAGUUUUCUUUGUUGGGGUUGCGGACAUAUCAUAACGAAGAGGUAUCGUAAUUGAAGAGGUUUGGAAAGACCCACCACAGAAGGUAAUAGUCCUGUAUGUUAAACGAGAAGACUUUAGAUAUGAUCCAGAGUACCACGGGACACGUGAAACCCUGUGGGAAGCAGGAGGGACCACCCUCCAAGGCUAAAUACUAACUAGUGACCGAUAGCGUAUAGUACCGUGAGGGAAAGGUGAAAAGAACCCCGGGAGGGGAGUGAAAUAGAACCUGAAACCCUGCACUUACAAGCUGUGGAAGCACAUUUCUUGUGUGACCGCGUACUUUUUGUAGAACGGGCCAACGAGUUACGUUAAGUAGCAAGGUUAAGCACUUAAGGUGCGGAGCCGUAGCGAAAGCGAGUUUUAACUGAGCGUUCAGUUACUUGACGUAGACCCGAAACCGGGCGACCUACCCAUGAGCAGGAUGAAGCGAAAGUAAAAUUUCGUGGAGGUCCGAACCCACGAGCG